UCUUUCAAGGUCCCUUCCAAUCCCUAGUAUUCUGUGAUUCUGUGAUUCGUAGUCUCUGAGAAUGGCACCUUUCCCAGAGCAAUUCCUCCUUCUGAGACCGUCUGUUGCUCUUACAGUUCCUUGCCUUUGCCCUUGGUGGUGCUGUAUUCAGAAAGUCUCUGGUUCUUAGGUACCCUUAGGCUGCACUUGCAGGAGGCCAGCAGCGCCUGCCAAGGAUGCUCUGGGUUGCCAGGCCCCAUUCCCCAGCUGGCAGGCAUUCUCCGCUGCCAGGCUUUUAGGAGACUUUUGCUCUUUAAUUGCUCCAGC
Molecule: long non-coding RNA, 306 nt
Organism: Oxyura jamaicensis (ruddy duck)
Lineage: Eukaryota; Metazoa; Chordata; Aves; Anseriformes; Anatidae
Exons: 3
Source: RefSeq, a predicted model, not a curated record